Non-coding RNA from Balaenoptera ricei (Rice's whale), 447 nucleotides. The record is from the annotation of a RefSeq genome assembly. NCBI's taxonomy places the organism in Eukaryota, Metazoa, Chordata, Mammalia, Artiodactyla, Balaenopteridae.
AUGGGCUGCGGGCUGCUCUGCUGUGUGGUCCUCUCUCUUGUGGGAGCAGCAGCCUCUGCGGACACGGGAAUAACUCAGAUACCAAAAUACCUAGUCAUGGAAACUAGAAGUAAGAAAUCUCUGAGAUGUGAACAACACCUGGGACACAAUGCUAUGUACUGGUAUAAGCAGAGCGCUCAGAAGCCGCUGGAGCUCAUGUUCGUCUACAACUACAAGGAACUCGCUAGCAAUGAGACUGUUCCAAGUCGAUUCUGGCCCAAAUGCCCAGACAGCUCCCACUUGUACCUGCACGUGGACACCCUGAAACUGGAAGACUCCGCCUGGUAUCUCUGCGCCAGCAGCAAAGACACAGCCCUGCAGAGCCAACUCCUUCCUGUGCACAAACCUCCAGGGUCCAGCCAGGAAGCUAGGGGGCCAGCCAAGGCUCCGUUUGCCACUUCCCAUUAG